This 189-nucleotide ribosomal RNA is filed under the name uncultured bacterium. RNAcentral's name for it is "partial 16S ribosomal RNA". It matches the Rfam family "Bacterial small subunit ribosomal RNA", at positions 1304 to 1500 of the family's 1533-position model. The record is from RNAcentral.
GCUGAAACCCGCCUCCAUGAAGUUGGAUUCGCUAGUAAUCGCGCAUCAGCCAUGGCGCGGUGAAUACGUUCCCGGGCCUUGUACACACCGCCCGUCAAGCCAUGGGAGCCGGGGGUGCCUGAAGUUCGUUACCGUAAGGAUCGACCUAGGGCAAAACUGGUGACUGGGGCUAAGUCGUAACAAGGUACC